CUGGCUGAGCACCGUGGGUCGGCGAGGGCCCGCCAAGGAAGGAGCGACCGACCGAGCCAGGCGCCCUCCGCAGACCUCCGCGCAGCGGCCGCGGGCGCGAGGGGAGGGGUCUGGAGCUCCCUCCGGCUGCCUGUCCCGCACCGGAGCCCGUGGGGUGGGGAGGUGUGCAGCCUGUGACAGACAGGGGCUUAGAGAUGCAAACAGACUCAGGGAGAGAAACAGAAGCUGAUUCUGUGACAGAAGCAGAUCUGUGCAGCACAGAUGCGGUGUGCGUGGGGAGGGGGUCGCCUGGGAGCGCAUUGCGGAGUGCUUGUGUGUGCAGAUUUUUCUCUGGGCUCAGGACUCAUUGUAUGUGGGUCAACACCUUCCUCCGUGACUGUGUUUUUGUUCUGAGCUGAGUUUUUUGGUUUGCCCUUAAAAAAAUAAUAAUUUGGCAUCCAGAGACUGGCAGACUGCCUCAGGGCCUGGACUGCGGAUAUAUUGUGUUCUGCUUGAGGUUUGGGGAGGAGGGCAGGCGGUAGGAAGGGAGAGGGGGAGCUGUUUGUCACACUUUGCUGUAGAGCUGAGAGCACCUGACAAGCUUAAGGAAGUCGUUGGGCUAUGUGGACAAGAAGGAGCCAGCUCCCAGCGGGUUCACAAGCUCUAUCGGAGUUGAAAGCGUGGUCAUGGCUCUAAGGAGCACCUCACGCCCUCCCUGUAGCUGUUAUUGCAGUUUCAGGCAGAGAUCCAGGAGCUGCAGAGGAAGGGAGAGGCACAAUAACCUACAUGGACCCAAGGGAGACAUGUGUUCCUUUAAAAAUGUGAACAGAAGGAAAAACAGAAUGUGUGCAACUGGGGGUCUGAGGAAAGACUGUUUUGAAAGAGGCUGUCAGGGAAUGGAAAGGGUUAAGCUUUUCAUCCUGAAGAACCUGCUUCCCAAAUCAGGCCUUCCUCCCAUCACUAGACCCUGAGCAGCAGCUGGUCCUAGAGACCCCCCUCGUACUGCGCUGCCACAGUCUCAUCCCAUUUCCAGCUCUGUAUUAACCACCAAGCUGCAGCGGAUGGGGCAAGACCUAAGCUCAUUAAUUUCCAGGUGGAGGAAAUGGAGGAGGGGCAGGUCCCUGCAGUAGAGGGAGGAGCAGAGAAAGGAGGCCAAGAGCUGGAUCCUUCUGCCCAGGAAGCCUGCUGCAUCCCUUCCCCCGAGCAUGGCAGAGGCCUGGCUUUGCAAGGCCAAGGCCAUAAGGGAUGCUUAGGAGAUUAAUUUGAUUCCUGACACAAUAAUCAAGCCCUAAGAGUCUCCACUGAAGCUUACUGAGGACUUCUUUCCUCUCCAAAGCCUCAGUCUAGCCUGCUAAAUAAAUUAGUAUUCAGUGAUGCCUUGGAUCAGGGCCCCUCCCCGGCCUCAGUUUCCCCAAAUAUUUAUUAAGUACCUACUGUGUGCAAUCCUUGUGUAAUUAUUAACUCUUAGGCUCUUCAUUUGCCCUCCUAAAGCAGUGUUUAGAGUCAGGCAGAGGUUAAGUGUGUUGCACCUCACCUAGAUACUUCCAGAACCUUCUCUGGGUCUGCAGAAUGUGGCACAACCUGCUUGCCCCCGCAGAGAGAAAGCUGCAGUGCACAUCCUGCAGACUGCAGGUGCUGGGCUGCCUCUGGAGUCCCAGAAGGCAAGCUUGGCUGCAGGACAGAAAGGGAGAACAGCUUCUCUCACCCCUGAGCCUUCACAAGCCCUUGUCUAUUUGCCGUUGCCUUCAAAAUAUACCUCCCCCGAAACCAGUAGCUUUCUGAGUCCUGGUGUCCCCUCCGCCCUUUCUGGACAGGUUUGGGAAGAAGAAAGCAGUCAGUGCUGGGCCUUAUUGGGGUGUGAAGCGCCUUGCUCUGCCCCUUCUGCUCACUGUGAAGGCCGCUGGAUGCUUCUCUUAGGCAUGGUUUAAGCCUCCGAUUACUAAACCCCUUGCCCCACAAACGUCCACAUUGACGAGCCUCUUUUUAGUAACUGCUUCCCCGUAAUUCCUUCAGAGGUUGCUGUACCCUUCGCUGAUGUGCUGCCCUCCUGUAAAACCUCCAGAUGCCUUCCCACGUAAUGCCCCUUUCAGAUGCUUUAAGCUGAGAGCUUAAACCACAGGUACCAUGGCUGACGCCUGCCAGGUUUCUGCUGCAGAUAAUCUAUGAUGGGAGGGGCAUAUUUUUUACUUCAUUACUUAUGUAAACUCUUGUUCCAGAAAGCUUUAAUGUGUGUGGGAGUGUUCUGGGUCUAUUAGGUCUGUGCGCAUGGGUGUGGGCAUUUGCCUGUGUCCACCGGGUGGGUCUCAUUAUGAAAUGUAUGUUUAUGUAGGGCUUUAAUGGCUGAAAAUGGCAAAGAGAUGAAUAGACCACUUGGCCCCAUGUGUAAUUGCCAGGCCCCUUCUGUGCUCAAAUGAGGUGUCCGAGUGAAGGUCAGCCCUUCCCUUCUGUAUUUGGGGCCUAUUUAUGCCACCAGUAAUUUUAUAAGAAAUCUGAAUAGUUCUCCCCUUUGAGUGCAUUUAACUCUUUAGUAUCUUCUCUCUUACCUAUUUGAGCCCCUCUAGCUACAGUCUGGCUUAAAUGAAAGGGGAAUUAUAUGCUUAAGAAAAAGUAGGACACGGUUGAGGCAGUUUGCUGACUGAAUACGCGAAGAAGGACCUGAUGGGCUCAUAUGCACCACUGCCAUCACAGUCCCCAUCGUGAUGCAAGCUUAUAUGAUUCUUGAGAAACAGCCCAGAUCUCCUCUUAAGCGGAAAAGAGAUUGACCUUCUAGCAGAGGCAAAGGUAAACUCCUGUAAGUUACUUCUGUUACCAAAGGGAGGGGGGCGGCUUUUGUGAAUGUAUGAGGAGCUUUUGCCAGAGAGAUAUUCGGAGGAGGGGUGUGCCCAUAUGCACACAUAUAUUUUCCCGCAUAACCGUAUCCAAUGCUAGCAUUUAGAGGAAGGCAUUUAGCCACCAAAAGUCCAUCCAUCUAUGCUGCUUCCACAGAGAAAACAUUUUCUCUUUCCUCCUCUUGAACUUACAUAAUAUCCUCCUCCCAUUCCAACCUUAGAAUGGAGUCUUCUGGGGGCAGCUGCAAAGCGUUCUCCCUAGGACAGAUGGAGCCUCCCUUUCCUCAUCUACUCUGUGGGUGGUUUCAGGGCCCACGAGUCAACAUGAGGAGUUGUGCUGGUGGUAUGUGUGUUGGAGGCUGGGCUGGCUGAUUCACAGUGACGAGGAUGUCAAUAAUAACAAGAAUGAGAAUGAUGGUACCUAAUAAAGACUUUUUUUCCCAAGUCCCAUCUACAAUUCUUUCAUUGGGUGUUUUGCCAAGUCUUUCUCAAUCUCAUCUCAGCUUUUUUUUUUUUUUUAAAGAAAAUGUAUUCAAUACUUAAUUGCAUCACAAAUGUAGACAUAGAAGAAAGGACUUCAAACGGAAUUUAUGGGAGGCAAUGUGUGCGGCUUUUUGCCUUAUAGAGCUGUGUAGAAGGUCUGGAAUGAUCUUCCAGCACCAAAUUUAGAUGGCCUCAAAAAAAAAAAAAAAAAAAAAAAAAUCAGGCCUUAUUGAGGGCAAGGAAUGUUCCAGGUCAGAAAUAAAAGUGUCAGCAACUCUCAAUAGGUUCAUCUUUUUAUUUCCUGUCCUUCUCCCUUUUGUCUUAAAAUAGAAACGCUACCAAGACCUGAGGGCCUGGGUCAGGGGCCGGGAAGCCCAGAAAACAAACUUCCAGAAUCACUAAGGGCUUUCUCUCUCAAAAUUACAGUGGGAGGGUUCUUUUGAAAUUCAAAUCCAACCUAUUUGUUGCUUAAGCACACACAAAAUACUGAGACCUGGGGUCCAAGAGGCAAUACUUCCGCUGCAAGUGCAUGUUGCAACUUCGCGUGAUGUUCCCAGGGCGGUUCUGCGGCAACUUGCGGCUCCGCGACUGUGGGCGCGGGCCCCAUUUCGGGCCCCGUCGGCCGGGACCGCGCCCAGGGCUUCUCAAGUGACUCGCUUCCCAGCACGCAAGAGGCAUUCUCGUCUCUUUCUCUUCGAAUGCACCCGAGACUUCUCCAUGAAGCAAGGAGAAGAUGAGCAGGCGCUGGUUUCCCUUUUCUUUUUUGCUCCCAUUUCCCAGUCUUGAUUUUUUUUUUCCCUUUCUCUCUCUCUCCCGAAUCAUGCAGACCUGGAACUCCUAAGAUUCGGGUCCUCCUGCAGUUCCCAAAGCUUUGGAUCCAUCCGAGGUGUGGGUAGAUGCGGGUUAGUCUCAGGGUCUUUCUAGGAUGAGCCCCAAGCCCAAGUUCUAAGGCGAGGGGGAGGCGAAGAGGUCAGGGCUACAAACGCCAGGGACUGUCCCCGGAGAGGUCAUUUUUCCAUUUUCCAUGCACAUCGAUUUCACUCUAGCGCCAGAUGGACACUCGACGGUCAACGUUAGAGAUUUUUCCGGAGUCGGGGGCAGGAAGCGGGACGAAUUGAGACGAGGGUACAUCCUUUGCUUCCAAGGGUGGCCGAGCCAGACCGAAGGCCUGGGCGGGAGGUCACGUCCUCCCCUGGCCACCCACAGCGCUCCCCAGCCGCAGGCCUGGGCCUAGAAGCCGCGCCCUCCCGGCCGUGCAGCCGGUCAGCCUGUGCGCCCGGCGCCCGCAGUGCGGCUCCGGGCCUCUCUCUGAUCCACUUCAGUACCUGCGGCCUCGAGGACCCCACCGUGCAUCCCGGAAAGCCUCAGAACUUGCAAGAAAGAGGGGCUGGCAGAAGCCAAAACCACAACAAAAAUCUUCAACCCACAAAGAAAAAGACACAUUCCUCCUUCGGCCUUAGUCAGCGUUAGUUCCAGAUCCGAAGCCGGAGGGGACGGAGCCGCUCGAAGUCGGUUGGAAGGAAGGCGCAGAAGGCUCUUUCUGUCUCCAUGAAUCUCCUUGCAAAUGCAACCGCUGCUGCCAUUAGGACGCGGUCUCUGUUUGCAAAAAAAACUCAAUUCCUUCCAUUUCCUCAUCUGUUGGGUCCAUCAGCGUGCAGUGAGUGAUGCAAGGUCCCUUUGGGUCAACAGGCCGUCCCCUGAAAUAACUUUCAGAGCCCUGGCCUCAAGGUCAUGGGCCGGGUGGCCUCUACAGGCCACAGGUCAGGACCAGGAUGUGCCUGACUGAGGCUGUGCCACCGAGAGCUUCGGACGUGCAGAAAGGUGCCCUGAGCUGCACGGGGGGCUUCUGUCAGCCCCCUCCCACUCUACACAGAUUGAUGUGGCAAUAUUUAUUCCCAUUUAAUUGAGACACUGGUUUAAUUUCAGAUUGCUUCGGCUUAAGGCCCAAUGGGGUUUUCUGCAGCUCUUUUCCCCAGUGCCUCUACAGAAAUUAAUUGCUGUUAAUAUCCAAUUUUGGCUUUAUUAUUCGUUAGCCAAUUAUGUAUCCCAUAGCCCAGGCCCCUUGCUGCUCUCAGCCUUUGCUGGAAUCAGCUCACACUAUGCCGGGCUUCUGCUUUUCUGCCUUCCCCUCUAUUCAAACUCUGUCCUCCCAAGAUGAUUUACCGGCCCGUCAGGCAUUUUGCUUGUGUCCCAGCGCUAGCUGAGCUGGCGGAGGUGUCUUUAAGACGUUUUCCCCCUUUUGAGGGAAAUGUCUUCUUUGCAGUGGACAUAAUUUCCAUUUAAAAAGGAAUCUAAGCUUCUCCACUCUCGCUUCACUAUCCUAAGAUUUGCUUUCUCUGGAGCCAUUUUUGGAGAGCAGUUUUCCAUCAAAAGCAAGCAAGGUGCCCCGGCAUCAGGGCUCCCCUCCCCACCUCCCUAGGAGCCCCUCCGAGACUGUCUUAAAGCCACCACAUAUACAUAACACCAUAGAUUCAAACAGGGUGCUUGGAGGAUGUCAUUCCACAUUUCAAGGAGGGAAACUUGAAAAAGCACUAUUUUCAGAGAUGAGGAGGGCAGCUCUCCCCUCGUCCCCCACAGAGGCCCUGGAAACCAUUCCAGCCUUGCACUGCGCAACCCUGCUUGAUGGAGCUGAUGCAACUGGGGGCGAGAGCCUUUAAAAAGUGUUCUUUUGCCUUGGUUUUUUGUGCCUUGAGUUCACAGAAGCAAACACUUCCCAUCACUGGUGCUCUGGAAACAGAAACAUACAAGUGAGAAUCCUAACGACAGCAGAGGCCCUUCUUUGUCUGCUUCCUCUCCUUCCCCCCUUGGAAAGAAUGCCUCCCAUGCCUUAAUGUGCCCUCACACUUAUCUCUAGCAGUUCCGUAACAACCUGCGCAGUGUCGGCAUCAGAACCGAAUGCAGAGAAAACAAAACGUCAGAGCCGCUGGCUUGGACUGCGGCCCCUACAGAUGAAGCCCGAGCCUUCUACUCCUACCUCAGCAUCUUGCCGCCUUCAUGUGGACAAUUAAUCAACAGCAACAGCAUAGUGUGAAGUAGAGAUAGAGUCUUGAUAUGUUCCCCAGGCUGCUCUGGAAUUCUUGGACUCAAGCAAUCCUCCUGACUUGGCCUCCCAAAGUGCUGGGAUUACAGGCUCCUAUUCCAAAUCGGAUGAAGCACUGAAAACAAAGCACUUUCACAUCCUUCACCCUGAUCUGUAGCAUAUUCUUCAGAACUCUUAUGAUUUCAAGUGACAGAAACCCAAUCUGAACCAGCUGAAACACUCAGAGGCAUUUAGUAUCUCAUGGAACCCAGUGCCCCAGGGACAGGCGGAAACGCUGACUUGAACAUCUCUUUCUGAGUUUCUCAUCUCAGCGCCUCUCUGCAGAUGUUGAAAUCUUCUUUUUUUCUGCUAACUGGCCUCUGCUUCCCAGGUUCACAGCAAGAAACAUGGCCAUUGGGAUGUCCCAAGCUUUGCAUUUUAUAGCCCAGCUUAGGUCAGGUGGCCACCCCUGUGCCAGUCAACUUGACCGAAUGGAUGGAAAACCUCAACUGAUCAAGCUGGAGUUAAGUGCAUGCAGGGAGCACCUAUGGUAACUGCGGAUGGCAGGGAGGGCAGCCACCUAGAAAAAGGUACUGCUGGCCAGGUAAGACCACAGGUAUCCACAACUACCACCAAUCUGCUGUGAACAGUUCCUCUGAAGUUGUGCAAUAAGCAAGCCGUGUGAUGCUGGUCUUGGUAGAAUAUCUUAUUUCUAAACUCCAAACCAUCAGAUUGGCCUCUACCUCCCCAUUUGCCCUCCUCAGAAGAUCUUGACACCCAAGUUCACCCCAUCCUCUGGAGUCCUGUGGUUUGAAAUACUGACCAUUUGUCCCAAUCCUGGAGCCAAGGUCCCAGCAUGCUCUGUGUCCAAGUUCAGAUUACCACAAAAGCUGGUUGUGAAGACCACAAGUUGUUACCUAUUUGUUUUUUAACCAGUUGUAUAUACAACAUUUGGUGCUUUUCACAACACCACACUACCUCUGUCUUACUGUACUGUUUCUCUCCCUAGCAAGCUACCAACAUUUCCUCUCUCCUCCCUAAAACAUGAAAAAAGGAGAGAGAGAGAGAGAGAGAGACGCAGGUAAUGCCUAUACUCUCAUCUCCUAAGGGGUCCUUGAGACAAUGGAUUCCAAAGAGCAGUUUGGAACAUGAAGAAAACCCCAAUGGGGAGGCCCUGCUCCCAAGUCUCACUAAUUCUGGAUUUAAUUCUCCCCUGUGGGCCAGGUGGUGAAUUAGUGGCCCUCCCACCCUACCUUCUGUUUUCUAUGAUCUCGUCUCAUCUAAUAAAGGCUCCAGAUCUGAAAGUCUCUGAGACCAGAACCUUAGUCCAAUUAAACCCUGCUAAAGCAAACAAACUUGGGAAAGACAAAGAGGUGAAGAGGUUAACAGCAGACAAAACCUCCACUGACAAGCUAAAUUAGCCUUGCCCACCUCAGGAGAAGGUGUAAGGUGGACAGCGGAGACUGCUGGUAGUGAUUAACAUUUGCUCGAAAUUCUAAGGAGCUAAUUUUUUUUCCAAGUUAAAUGUUAACCUGUGAAAAGAGGAACAGUAACUAUGCGAAGAGGAAUGUGAAGAAGAAAACAGAAAGACCAGCCUGCUGGGUGGAUGUCUUCCUCCCAAAGUAGUCGAGACCAGGGAUUCUGAGGAAUAGUUUUCCAUUUAUCCUUCAUCAUCUCCAUUCAACAGGGCCGCUGAGCUCCAGAUGAGCAUGGAAAGAUGGAGGAGCUGCCAAACCUGACUUUGGAGGCCCUGGUCAGGAGCCCGUUGGAGGCCUUCCAGUUUUACACCCUUUGUGAAUUUGUCCGUGGGGUGGGUUUGUUCUGAUGCCAUGAGUAGCUUCCACUGGAAAAGGCACCAUCUCCACCCAACAUUUUAGGUAUGCUGGUGCAUUGGGAGGACAUUCUUGGUGCCAAUAAUCGUCUGAAGAUUCUUUGCUAUCCUUUGGUAGAGGCUCUAUUUACCACAAUGAAGAGUAGAAAGAUUAUGAUGUGAGUGUGUUUUGGUGUGUGUGUGUGUGUGUGUGUAUGUGUGUGACUAUUAGUGAAAACUGCUAGUAGUAUGUCAGUGUGGAGAGAAAUUCAGUCCUCCCGCAAGUGGUGAGGCUCAAUAUUAAGGGACAGAACAUCAGUGAGCACCACAUUAAGGCACUAUUCUCGACAUCUGGGAAGAAGCAAAGAAAAAUGUGUCAUGCCUCUUACCUUUUAGGGACUUAUAAUACAGGAAAGAGAAGACUUGUAUAAAUGGCUAAAAAUAUACUGAGGAGUAUAACUAAUAACUAAUGCAGAGUGUGCUGGUAAAAGGUUGUGUGGGUUCAGGAAUGUCAAAAGUUGCAGCUGCUGUGAAAGCCAAUAUGGCGGGUCCUCAAAAAAUUAAAUGUAGAAUUACCAUAUGACUCGGCAACUCCACUUCCGGGUAUGUUCUUAAAACGAUUGAAAGCAGAGACUCAGACAGAUAAUUGCACACCCAUGUUCACAGCAGCAUUAUUCACAAUCGCCAAAAUGUGGAAGCAACCCAAGUGUCCACUGGCCAAUGAAUGAAUGAGUAAAACAUGCUAUGUAUCAACAGUAGAAUAUUAUUCAACCUUAAAAGGAAACAAAUUCUGGUACGUGUUACAACAUAGAUGAACCUUGAGUGGAAGAAGAAAACAGAAAGAGCAGUCCGCUGGGUGGAUGUCUUCUUCCCAAAGUAGUUGGGAUCAGGAAUGCUGAGAAACAAUUCCCCAUUCAUCCUUCAACAUCUCCAUUCAACAGGGCCACUGAGCUCCAGGAUGAGCAUGGAAGGAUGGAGGAGCUGCCAAGCUUGACCUUGGGGACCCAGGUCAGGAGCCUUCUGGAGACCUUCCAGUUUUAUGCCCUUCGUGAAUUUGUUUGUGGGAUGAACUCUAUGAAGUGAACUAAACCAAUCACACACAAAAAAUAAA
RNAcentral lists this long non-coding RNA (9230 nucleotides) under Homo sapiens (human). RNAcentral describes it as "HSALNT0345131". The record is from RNAcentral. Lineage: Eukaryota; Metazoa; Chordata; Mammalia; Primates; Hominidae.